Molecule: long non-coding RNA, 105 nt
Organism: Melanotaenia boesemani (Boeseman's rainbowfish)
Lineage: Eukaryota; Metazoa; Chordata; Actinopteri; Atheriniformes; Melanotaeniidae
Exons: 3
Source: RefSeq, a predicted model, not a curated record
CGCAGGAACACACAUGGGCUUGGUUAAUAUAGACUCGCAUGACGUGAUGGCAUCAAGGUCGUUGGUUGAAAAUCUUCAGUACAUUGUGUUCAAACCCGGCAACAU